Non-coding RNA from Acanthosepion pharaonis, 105 nucleotides. The record is from the annotation of a GenBank genome assembly. Lineage: Eukaryota; Metazoa; Mollusca; Cephalopoda; Sepiida; Sepiidae.
UACGUCACAUUGAAACACCGAUUCCCGUACGAUCACCGGAGUCAAGCAACGUCAAGUCUGGUCAGUAUCUAGAUGGGUGACCGCUUGGGAAUAGCAUGUACUGUA